This 214-nucleotide long non-coding RNA is filed under the name Gossypium barbadense (sea-island cotton). Its description in RNAcentral is "long non-coding RNA (GBAR_LNC004028)". Lineage: Eukaryota; Viridiplantae; Streptophyta; Magnoliopsida; Malvales; Malvaceae. The record is from RNAcentral.
AAUUAUCAAGAAAAAGCAUUAAAAUCACUUACUAUAAAGGGAGUUUCUUUGCUGAAAGUUUCCAGCUUCUAAACCCUUUCUUUGCUGCCAUUUUUUCGGUGGAGAGAAGAUGAAGAAAAGAUGAUAUUUUCUUUUCUUUAUUUUAUUACUUAUUUGUCAAAUAAGUCACAAAACACUUACCUAACAUGUUUGACCAUUUCAUUCCUUGUCUCAU